CACCCAUGGCACCCAUCGCAAUGGCACCCGGGGCACCCAUGGCUUUGGAAUGGCACCCAUGGCAUUGCAAUGGCAAACAAUGGCACCCAAUGGCACCCAAUGGUAUUGCAAUGGGACCCGGGGCACCCAUGGCUUUGGAAUGGCAACCAAUGGCACCCAAUGGCACCCAAUGGUAUUGCAAUGGCACCCAAUGGCACCCAUGGCCUUGUCCGAGUCGAACAGCGCCCUGCCGGCACCCAGCGCACCCAGCGCACCCAUAGCACCCAUCGCAAUGGCACCCGGGGCACCCAUGGCUUUGGAAUGGCACCCAAUGCUAUUGGAAUGGCAACCAAUGGCACCCAAUGGUAUUGCAAUGGCACCCAAUGGCACCCAUGGCAUUGCAAUGGCACCCAAUGGCACCCAUGGCAUUGCAAUGGCACCCAAUGGCACCCAAUGGUAUUGGAAUGGCACCCAUGGCACCCAAUGGUAUUGGAAUGGCACCCAAUAGCACCCAAUGGUAUUGGAAUGGCACCCAAUAGCACCCAAUGGUAUUGGAAUGGCACCCAAAGGCACCCAUGGUAUUGGAAUAGCACCCAUGGCAUUGUAAUGGCACCCAAUGGCACCCAAUGGAAACUUAAUGGCACCCAAAGGCACCCAUGGUAUUGCAAUGGCACCCAAAGGCACCCAAUGGAAACUUAAUGGCAUUGUAAUGGCACCCAAUGGC
This 703-nucleotide long non-coding RNA is filed under the name Phasianus colchicus (ring-necked pheasant). RNAcentral describes it as "lncRNA (ENSPCLG00000016900.1)". Lineage: Eukaryota; Metazoa; Chordata; Aves; Galliformes; Phasianidae. The record is from RNAcentral.